UGGGGAAUAUUGCGCAAUGGGGGGAACCCUGACGCAGCCAUGCCGCGUGAAUGAAGAAGGCCUUAGGGUUGUAAAGUUCUUUCGGUAUUGAGGAAGGUUGAUGUGUUAAUAGCACAUCAAAUUGACGUUAAAUACAGAAGAAGCACCGGCUAACUCCGUGCCAGCAGCCGCGGUAAUACGGAGGGUGCGAGCGUUAAUCGGAAUAACUGGGCGUAAAGGGCACGCAGGCGGUUAUUUAAGUGAGGUGUGAAAGCCCCGGGCUUAACCUGGGAAUUGCAUUUCAGACUGGGUAACUAGAGUACUUUAGGGAGGGGUAGAAUUCCACGUGUAGCGGUGAAAUGCGUAGAGAUGUGGAGGAAUACCGAAGGCGAAGGCAGCCCCUUGGGAAUGUACUGACGCUCAUGUGCGAAAGCGUGGGGAGCAAACAGGAUUAGAUACCCUGGUAGUCCACGCUGUAAACGCUGUCGAUUUGGGGAUUGGGCUUAAAGCUUGGUGCCCGUAGCUAACGUGAUAAAUCGACCGCCUGGGGAGUACGGCCGCAAGGUUA
Molecule: ribosomal RNA, 547 nt
Filed under: uncultured bacterium
Lineage: Bacteria
Description: bacterial SSU rRNA
Rfam family: Bacterial small subunit ribosomal RNA
Source: RNAcentral